Long non-coding RNA from Perca flavescens (yellow perch), 544 nucleotides. RefSeq lists it as uncharacterized. NCBI's taxonomy places the organism in Eukaryota, Metazoa, Chordata, Actinopteri, Perciformes, Percidae. The transcript is spliced from 5 exons. The record is from RefSeq and is a predicted model, not a curated record.
UGUCUGCAAAAAUAUGCAGAGAAAAGCGGAGCAGAAAACCCUGAUCUCCUGAGGUCAACUAAAUUAAGAAAACAGGUUGCCACACUCUGCCAACUGCUGGAUCUGAGUGAACAAGAGCUAGAACAAGUUGCAAGGUUCAUGGGGCAUGACCUCAGAGUCCACCGUGACUUUUACAGACAGACAGACAAAACAUUUCAAAUUGCCAAGAUAAGCAAGCUUCUAUUUGCAAUGGAACAAGGCGCCUCCACCUUCAAGGGAAAGAACCUUGAUACAAUUGAUCCUUCUGUCUGUGGUAAAUGUCCCACGUCGACUUCUGAGAGUGUCCCACAGAGAGAAAGGAAACAAGUUAACGAGGUGGAUGAAGAUGGAGGUUUUGACCUCUUCUCCCCAAAAGGAGACUGGAGCCCCUCAGUGAGGAUGGGAGUUCAGGUGUAGAUGAUCAGAGUCCAGGAAAAAGCCUGGUGCUGAGGCCCUCACAGAAGAAGAAAAGAUGUAAAAUGUCCAAGACAGUGGAAGCAAUGGAUGGAGGUUCUGACCUCUUCUC